Molecule: ribosomal RNA, 736 nt
Filed under: uncultured fungus
Lineage: Eukaryota; Fungi
Description: eukaryotic LSU rRNA
Rfam family: Eukaryotic large subunit ribosomal RNA
Source: RNAcentral
CCGUCUUUGGCACGGAUGGACCAGGGCUUUUGUGAUGCGCUCUCGAAGAGUCGAGUUGUUUGGGAAUGCAGCUCAAAAUGGGUGGUGAACUCCAUCUAAAGCUAAAUAUUGGCGAGAGACCGAUAGCGAACAAGUACCGUGAGGGAAAGAUGAAAAGCACUUUGGAAAGAGAGUGAAACAGUACGUGAAAUUGUUGAAAGGGAAACGCUUGAAGUCAGUCACGUCGACCGAGACUCAGCCUUGCCUCGGCUUGGUGUAUUUCUCGGCUGACGGGUCAGCAUCAAUUUUGCCCCUUGGAUAAUGGCGAGGGAAAUGUGACACCUUUACGGUGUGUUAUAGUCUCUCGUCGCAUGCAAGGGUCGGGAUUGAGGAACUCAGCACGCGCCCUCGGGCGUCGGGGCUUUGCCCACGAUACGUGCUUAGGAUGUUGGCGUAAUGGCUUUAAACGACCCGUCUUGAAACACGGACCAAGGAGUCUAACAUGCCUGCGAGUGUUCGGGUGGAAAACCCGUGCGCGCAAUGAAAGUGAAAGUUGGGACCUCUGUCGUGGAGGGCACCGACGCCCGGACCAGACCUUCUGUGACGGUUCUGCGGUAGAGCAUGUAUGUUAGGACCCGAAAGAUGGUGAACUAUGCCUGAAUAGGGUGAAGCCAGAGGAAACUCUGGUGGAGGCUCGUAGCGAUUCUGACGUGCAAAUCGAUCGUCAAAUUUGGGUAUAGGGGCGAAAGACUAAUCG